GGGGGGGGGGGGGGGGGGGGGGGGGGGGGGCGGGGGGGAGGGGGGGGCGCGGCGUGGGGUGGGGGCUCGAGUGGCGGACGGGUGAGUAACACGGGGGUAACCUGCCCGUUACGUUUGGAGAACUUCAGGGAACUGUGGCUAAUACCGUAUCGGAGCUCCUGCUGCAUGGUGGUGGUUGGAAAGUUGCGGCGGUUGGUGAUGUACUCGCGGCUUAUCAUCUUGUGGGUGGGGUAGUGGCGUACCACGGCUUUGACGGGUAGCCGGCCUGAGAGGGUGACCGGCCACAUUGGGACUGAGAUACGGCCCAGACUCCUACGGGAGGCAGCAGUGGGGAAUAUUGCACAAUGGGCGGAAGCCUGAUGCAGCAACGCCGCGUGCGGGAUGACGGCCUUCGGGUUGUAAACCGCUUUCGCCUGUGACGAAGCGUGAGUGACGGUAAUGGGUAAAGAAGCACCGGCUAACUACGUG
This 468-nucleotide ribosomal RNA is filed under the name uncultured bacterium. RNAcentral describes it as "partial 16S ribosomal RNA". The stretch from base 49 to 468 matches the Rfam family "Bacterial small subunit ribosomal RNA", at positions 39 to 507 of the family's 1533-position model. The record is from RNAcentral.